CCCUUAGACGUUCUGGGCCGCACGCGCGCUACACUGACACAGGCAACGAGCUUUCCUUUACCGAAAGGUAUGGGUAAUCUUUUGAAACUGUGUCGUGCUGGGGAUAGAUCCUUGCAAUUUUUGAUCUUAAACGAGGAAUUCCUAGUAAGCGCGAGUCAUCAACUCGCGUUGAUUACGUCCCUGCCCUUUGUACACACCGCCCGUCGCUACUACCGAUUGAAUGGCUUAGUGAGGCCUCGGGAUCCGCGCUUAAUGUGUGGAGAAUUUGGACAAACUACGUCAUUUAGAGGAAGUAAAAGUCGUAACA
This 307-nucleotide ribosomal RNA is filed under the name uncultured eukaryote. RNAcentral describes it as "partial 18S ribosomal RNA". It matches the Rfam family "Eukaryotic small subunit ribosomal RNA", at positions 1470 to 1796 of the family's 1831-position model. The record is from RNAcentral.